UUACUGGUGGCUAAGUAGGUAAAGAAUCUGCCUGCAAUGCUGGAGACCUGGGUUCAAUCCCUGGUUGGGAAG
This 72-nucleotide transfer RNA is filed under the name Bos taurus (domestic cattle). It matches the Rfam family "tRNA". From Rfam's summary of the family: Transfer RNA (tRNA) molecules are approximately 80 nucleotides in length. The record is from Rfam by way of RNAcentral. Lineage: Eukaryota; Metazoa; Chordata; Mammalia; Artiodactyla; Bovidae. RNAcentral also lists the same sequence under 1 other name.